Pungitius pungitius (ninespine stickleback) is the source of this 1073-nucleotide long non-coding RNA. RefSeq lists it as uncharacterized. NCBI's taxonomy places the organism in Eukaryota, Metazoa, Chordata, Actinopteri, Perciformes, Gasterosteidae. The transcript is spliced from 2 exons. The record is from RefSeq and is a predicted model, not a curated record.
GAGGGGUCCGGGCCAAUGGGGAGUUUCGACAAUCCAACAGAAACUUCCUAUCAUAAAUGAUUCGGGUACCUGAGACACAGACAGACAACCCGGUGGUCAACAAACAAAUGUUCUCGACAGUUCUUGUAAUGCAAAGCAGCGCGGAUAGGACGGCCUCCAACUCCUCCACCAAGGCGGAGACAAACCACGCCACCCUUUUUGGCAUACACCCUCUUUAAAUCACACGUCACUUGUUAAAUCGUGUCUUGUGUCCACAGCCACAACAAAAGACAAUGUCCACCACAAAUGUUACUUUAUCAUGUUUAUGGCAAUAAACAUGCAUCUUUUGUGUAAGCCAAAGUUAAUAUAGUUUAGCUUUCAGCAAUUGAAGUAUGUACAAAUGUAUUUGUCACUAGUCAAAUUGAUCGCUAUCUAAAAAUGGGUUUUUGUAAAAAUCGAGAAUAUACUACUUGUGUAUUGUGUUCUUUUAUGUAAAAGCACACAGUGCUUCCGUUGUUGUGUCCACGGCGCUCAAAAUCGCAGCAAACUUGCUGUGCUGACAACACGAGGGCUGCAGCCAACUGUCACUGUGCACAAUGUGAACAACAAGACACUUCUACAACUUGACUGCACGGCACCCUUCAGAUCGUUAACGCUUGUGUAGUUAUUUGAUAGUUUGGGCCGGUAGUGUUUAAACCCACACCCUUCAUCGCCUUCCUCAAGCGUGUUUGUGUUGCAUUGUUUGCAGCUUCUCGCGAGACUGAGCACAUAGUUUGCUUUUAUGCGUUUUGACAGAUACAAAAACCGCGGAGUUAAAGCUGCUUCGACGAUUCUCCGUGGCGUUGACGCAUUUCAAGAAUUAAAAAAAAAAAAGUUGCUUUAAAUAGGAGACGUCGCGCGGUUCUUACCUCCGGGCGUGGUGGAGAAGAGGGUCCCCCCGGGUGUCUGGCUGUAACAGUCGGGCAGCUGGGACCAGUCUUUCAGGGUGAGCACCCUGGUGGGGAUGGGGCAGCUUUUAGCUUCAUUAGUGCCAGUCGACAUGCUCAGCUUCUGCAGGCGGGAGUGGAACUAAGUGGGUUUUUUUUUUGUUUAAA